UGUAAAUAAGCUUGUUUGCAAACCAUUCUAAGGUCAGAUGUUCUGUUGCCUUUAUUGUAAGUAAGAGGGAUAUGAGAUACGAGAGGUAUCUUACUUUUGUUGAAUUACAUGUGAAUAAUACACUGUGUUGGCAAGUUGCUUUCACAUGGAACUCAGCUAAGCGAUCAGUUACUCUGCCAUGAAUAAAGCUUCACUACACAAAAGCUGCUACACAGUGAAAUGCAGCGAGCUCAGUAUCACAAACACAGCAGCUAGUUCGCUACAUAGCACGCUGCUUUAACAUGCGUUAAUUCCACAUGACAAGAAAGUUGUGUGGCCAAUGUUAUACGAGUAAUAGGUUAUAUUUCUACAAUAACAUUACUGUGUCCGUUUGAAUCUAAGUGUUAUGGAAUAUGACUUAUCGAGUCUCAGUUCAUAAUCAGGUGAAAAACAGCCGGGGAAGUAAACAUCGCCAAGCUAGCUGACUGCCAUUUCACUACAGUGAGAUACUUGCUCCUUCUCUGCUCUCUGGUAAUAUUCUUUUCACAAAACACAACAAAUAGGACGGUAAUGUUAAAUCUUACUUGUGAAAGGUUAUCCCCCUGAGCCCUGCUGGCGAUUAGCGCAGAAAUAAGCAGCACAGUGCUGUGGCCUCCUGCAUCUUCUGCUGCUACGCUACUACGAGCACCACCGCUACAAGAUGGCGGCCGUAUUUCUCGUGACCCGAAGCCAAUGCGGCGUCUAUGUAAAUUAUGUCUAUGGGUAUCGUCAUCUAGUUGAACAUCUGCUCCCUGAUGGACACCCAUUGGUCCCCAAGCUGCUAGAUAUGUCCCAUCUUGCCUCAUAACGUCUGUCCUUCACGUGUCCUCACUGUUUAUUCACAGCGUAAACUGGAGGACACGCACACGUCAUCCCUCAUGUGGUGGAAUAAAGGAAGUUUUAAAGAUGAUGCAAGAGACUCUUUAAAUUCUUUACGUAACUUAAGGAAAAUAAUUUCUCGUAAAAGCAGAAUAUUAAAUGGUAGAUCACGAAGGUCGGUCUCUGUUCUUCUGAUAAAAAAAGAAAGAGAUGUAACGAAAACAUUUAAUUUGACUUGUACACAGUACAUUAUCACACAUUUAUACUUUGAUGUCAGAAGUUGGACACUUUCUGUACAAAAACUUAGAUGAAUUUAACAACGAUGAAUCAUUUGUUGUGCUGAUCACUAAUCUUUCUUUGCAAUGCAGAUAGAAGAUAAAGAAACAUCCCAGUAGAGCUGCUGUCAGUCCCAGUAGUCCCAGUGCACAGUAGAGGCCGAUCCAUCUCAGUCUGGUGUCACUCGUUGUCUCAGGUUCGGGUCGAUCCUUCACUGCUGCAAAGAGACACAACAAAUCUGUUUAUUAAUGUAAAGAAAAAGGUUUAUUUAUCUGAAUAAAGCUGCUGAAUUAAACGUGUUAGUAAGUUUAACUUAAUGAACCUACCAGUGACCUUGAGGUGACAUUCCUUAUAGUUCAUCCCAUAACUUGUGUCCACUUGACACCAGUACAGCCCCGAGUCAUUAGUCUGGAGUCUGGAGAUGUGAAGUCUGAGUCGUCCUUCUCUGAGGACGUCUUUGUCCCACUGGACUCGUCCUGCAAAGCGUUUAUCCUGCAUCUCUGGGACCUCGACACCUUCAUACAGCUCAAACAGGGUAAAGGGUCUCUCAUCAGCUAACAUCUCACAGGAGACAUAAAGGGCGUUGGGGGAGGGGUCCGUGCUGGUGGGGAACAUCCAUUCCAGUGAGAUGUUGUGGUUCUCCUCUGCAUGAUACCAGCUCUGUGUCACAUUCACUACAAAUGACCCUGCUGAGGAGACAGAGAAGGAGAGGAGGAGGUGACAAAGUGACAGCUUUAACAUGGAGCCUUUAGACUCCAUCUCCAGAUGUUUCUGAGGAGUGUGUGCUGAUGCUUCACAGCUGCUUCACAAACACAAAAGUGAACCGACCACAGACACAGGAGGUCAGGAUGAAGAUCACCAGGAUGCUGCAGAUCAUCUCCUCCCUGUGAGAGGAGACAGAGGAGAAGAGGCUCAAACAUCAUCAUCACAC
Long non-coding RNA from Gasterosteus aculeatus aculeatus (three-spined stickleback), 2044 nucleotides. NCBI's taxonomy places the organism in Eukaryota, Metazoa, Chordata, Actinopteri, Perciformes, Gasterosteidae. The record is from Ensembl.